CCGCCGCCGGCCGCGCGCAGGCGCAGUGGGGCGCGGAGCCGCCUCAGGCGGCCAAAGGGCGCGGGCGGGUUCGGGGCCGGGGCUCUCCGGCGGGUUCGGGACCGGGGCCGGGGCUCUCCGGUGAGGAGCCGCGGCUCCCGGCGUCAAUCCCGAGCCGCCGUUUCGUUCCCGCAGCUCCCCCGGGCUCGCAGCCGGGCCGGGGAGUGACCCCGGGGCGCUCCCGGCGCGGCGCUGAAUUCCCGCAGCAGUCCGCGUUUUCCCGGGGCUCCUCUGAACGCGGGGUGCCCGGUAAAUGCGCCCUUCAGGAAUGAAGAAAUUCUAUGCCUCGAUAGGAUCUUCAAAAAAAUAAUGAGACACUGGGACAUUCUCAUUGCAUAUACAGGAAUGCCAGAUGCCUCUGAAAUUUGGAGCCGACUUCAGUAGUAGAUUGAAUAAAUUAUUUUAAUGCUGUC
Molecule: long non-coding RNA, 452 nt
Organism: Taeniopygia guttata (zebra finch)
Lineage: Eukaryota; Metazoa; Chordata; Aves; Passeriformes; Estrildidae
Source: RefSeq, a predicted model, not a curated record